RNAcentral lists this ribosomal RNA (371 nucleotides) under uncultured bacterium. RNAcentral describes it as "bacterial SSU rRNA". It matches the Rfam family "Bacterial small subunit ribosomal RNA", at positions 527 to 896 of the family's 1533-position model. The record is from RNAcentral.
AGAGGGUGCGAGCGUUGUCCGGAAUUACUGGGCGUAAAGGGCGCGUAGGCGGCUUGGUAAGUCGGGGGUGAAAGUCAGCGGCUCAACCGCUGGACUGCCUUCGAGACUGCCUGGCUUGAGCAUGGUAGAGGCUGGCGGAAUUCCCGGUGUAGCGGUGGAAUGCGUAGAGAUCGGGAAGAACAUCGGUGGCGAAGGCGGCCAGCUGGGCCAUUGCUGACGCUGAGGCGCGACAGCGUGGGGAGCAAACAGGAUUAGAUACCCUGGUAGUCCACGCCGUAAACGAUGGGUACUAGGCGUCGGGGGGAGCGACCCCUUCGGUGCCGUCGUUAACACAGUAAGUACCCCGCCUGGGGAGUACGGCCGCAAGGGGG